ACUCCUACGGGAGGCAGCAGUAGGGAAUCUUCCACAAUGGACGAAAGUCUGAUGGAGCAACGCCGCGUGAGUGAAGAAGGGUUUCGGCUCGUAAAACUCUGUUGUUAAAGAAGAACAUAUCUGAGAGUAACUGUUCAGGUAUUGACGGUAUUUAACCAGAAAGCCACGGCUAACUACGUGCCAGCAGCCGCGGUAAUACGUAGGUGGCAAGCGUUGUCCGGAUUUAUUGGGGCGUAAAGCGAGCGCAGGCGGUUUUUAAGUCUGAUGUGAAAGCCUUCGGCUCAACCGAAGAAGUGCAUCGGAAACUGGGAAACUUGAGUGCAGAAGAGGACAGUGGAACUCCAUGUGUAGCGGUGAAAUGCGUAGAUGUAUGGAAGAACACCAGUGGCGAAGGCGGCUGUCUGGUCUGUAACUGACGCUGAGGCUCGAAAGUAUGGGUAGCAAACAGGAUUAGAUACCCUGGUAGGAUAGCG
Molecule: ribosomal RNA, 473 nt
Filed under: uncultured bacterium
Lineage: Bacteria
Description: bacterial SSU rRNA
Rfam family: Bacterial small subunit ribosomal RNA
Source: RNAcentral